RNAcentral lists this non-coding RNA (270 nucleotides) under Clostridium sulfidigenes. RNAcentral describes it as "T-box sequence". It matches the Rfam family "T-box leader". Rfam says of the family: Uncharged tRNA acts as the effector for transcription antitermination of genes in the T-box leader family. T-boxes are found upstream of many aminoacyl-tRNA synthetase genes and some amino acid biosynthetic genes usually in Gram-positive bacteria. The anticodon of a specific tRNA base pairs to a specifier sequence within the T-box motif, and the NCCA acceptor tail of the tRNA base pairs to a conserved bulge in the T-box antiterminator hairpin. Lineage: Bacteria; Bacillati; Bacillota; Clostridia; Eubacteriales; Clostridiaceae. The record is from RNAcentral.
AGAAAUUCUAUGAAGAGAAAAAGUAAGUAGUAUUUUUGUUCCAAAGAGAGUUGGCAUUUUGCUGAAAGCCAAUGUUCAAUAUACAACUGAAAAUCAUCUCUGAGAAGCAACGCCGAAAUAUUUUAGUAGGUUUUGCCGGAGUCUUUCACCGUUAAAAGAAAAGCGUAUUGUUAGAUACGUAUCUAAGUGUUGUAAUUGAAUCUAUUAAUGUAUUGUUUUUAGAUUUGUUUACAGAAUUAGGGUGGUAACGCGGUUUAACCCGUCCCUUGU